GUCUUGGAGGUAAUGAGGCCUGACGGCUUUGGCUGGUGCACGAUCACAAUCUCACCCUGGUAUCUUUGAAAUUCUUUGUUGCCAUAUUCAUAAAGGAAGAAAUGACUUUUGCAAAAUGACAGUAAACAUGCUUCAUUUUAUAAGACAUUGUGGUUAACAACCUGAAACAAUGAAGCGUUUUUUGAGCUAUAGCUAAACUAAUUUGAGCUAUGUUAAAAGUGCUGAUGUAUAUGAGCCUCAUCUUGAAAAAUAAAAAGACAUGGAGCAGGCUGGCUCUUUGAAAGGCUGGGAUUACUGCACUGCGUUGUCACUUCAGUACAUGGAUCAGCUGCCCUGGGAGACGGAAGACAACUGCUGCUGAACACCUCGCUGGAGAACAAACUGCUCUCAUCGUUGAACUGUUGACUUUUUCACUGACACCAUGAAUACUACCUGGCUGUGCAUC
Molecule: long non-coding RNA, 445 nt
Organism: Hipposideros armiger (great roundleaf bat)
Lineage: Eukaryota; Metazoa; Chordata; Mammalia; Chiroptera; Hipposideridae
Exons: 3
Source: RefSeq, a predicted model, not a curated record